UACGUAGGGGGCUAGCGUUGUCCGGAAUCAUUGGGCGUAAAGCGCGCGUAGGCGGCCAGAUUAGUCCGGUGUGAAAGUCAGAGGCUCAACCUUUGAAUGCCGCUGGAAACUGUCUGGCUUGAGUCCGGAAGGGGCGAGUGGAAUUCCUGGUGUAGCGGUGAAAUGCGCAGAUAUCAGGAGGAACACCGGUGGCGAAGGCGGUGGUCUGGGCCGGCACUGACGCUGAGGAGCGAAAGCGUGGGGAGCGAAUGGG
RNAcentral lists this ribosomal RNA (253 nucleotides) under uncultured bacterium. RNAcentral's name for it is "partial 16S ribosomal RNA". It matches the Rfam family "Bacterial small subunit ribosomal RNA", at positions 524 to 776 of the family's 1533-position model. The record is from RNAcentral.